RNAcentral lists this ribosomal RNA (352 nucleotides) under uncultured bacterium. RNAcentral's name for it is "bacterial SSU rRNA". It matches the Rfam family "Bacterial small subunit ribosomal RNA", at positions 8 to 350 of the family's 1533-position model. The record is from RNAcentral.
AGAGUUUGAUCCUGGCUCAGGAUGAACGCUAGCUACAGGCUUAACACAUGCAAGUCGAGGGGCAGCAUGGUCUUAGCUUGCUAAGGCCGAUGGCGACCGGCGCACGGGUGAGUAACGCGUAUCCAACCUGCCUUACACUCUUGGACAGCCUUCUGAAAGGGAGAUUAAUACAAGAUGUUAUCAUGAGUAAGCAUUUUCGCAUGAUUAAAGGUUACCGGUGUAAGAUGGGGAUGCGUUCCAUUAGAUAGUAGGCGGGGUAACGGCCAUCUAGUCUUCGAUGGAUAGGGGUUCUGAGAGGACGGUCCCCCACAUUGGAACUGAGACGACGGUACCAAACUCCGUACGGGAGGCA